UACGGAGGGGGCUAGCGUUGUUCGGAAUUACUGGGCGUAAAGCGCGCGUAGGCGGCUUUGUAAGUUAGAGGUGAAAGCCCGGAGCUUAACUCCGGAACUGCCUUUAAGACUGCAUCGCUAGAAUCGUGGAGAGGUGAGUGGAAUUCCGAGUGUAGAGGUGAAAUUCGUAGAUAUUCGCAAGAACACCAGUGGCGAAGGCGGCUCACUGGCCCGGUACUGACGCUGAGGUGCGAAAGCGUGGGGAGCAAACAGG
Molecule: ribosomal RNA, 253 nt
Filed under: uncultured bacterium
Lineage: Bacteria
Description: partial 16S ribosomal RNA
Rfam family: Bacterial small subunit ribosomal RNA
Source: RNAcentral